RNAcentral lists this ribosomal RNA (1124 nucleotides) under Pseudarthrobacter scleromae. RNAcentral's name for it is "bacterial SSU rRNA". It matches the Rfam family "Bacterial small subunit ribosomal RNA", at positions 56 to 1190 of the family's 1533-position model. The record is from RNAcentral. Lineage: Bacteria; Bacillati; Actinomycetota; Actinomycetes; Micrococcales; Micrococcaceae.
UGCAGUCGAACGAUGAUCCCAGCUUGCUGGGGGAUUAGUGGCGAACGGGUGAGUAACACGUGAGUAACCUGCCCUUAACUCUGGGAUAAGCCUGGGAAACUGGGUCUAAUACCGGAUAUGACUCCUCAUCGCAUGGUGGGGGGUGGAAAGCUUUAUUGUGGUUUUGGAUGGACUCGCGGCCUAUCAGCUUGUUGGUGAGGUAAUGGCUCACCAAGGCGACGACGGGUAGCCGGCCUGAGAGGGUGACCGGCCACACUGGGACUGAGACACGGCCCAGACUCCUACGGGAGGCAGCAGUGGGGAAUAUUGCACAAUGGGCGAAAGCCUGAUGCAGCGACGCCGCGUGAGGGAUGACGGCCUUCGGGUUGUAAACCUCUUUCAGUAGGGAAGAAGCGAAAGUGACGGUACCUGCAGAAGAAGCGCCGGCUAACUACGUGCCAGCAGCCGCGGUAAUACGUAGGGCGCAAGCGUUAUCCGGAAUUAUUGGGCGUAAAGAGCUCGUAGGCGGUUUGUCGCGUCUGCCGUGAAAGUCCGGGGCUCAACUCCGGAUCUGCGGUGGGUACGGGCAGACUAGAGUGAUGUAGGGGAGACUGGAAUUCCUGGUGUAGCGGUGAAAUGCGCAGAUAUCAGGAGGAACACCGAUGGCGAAGGCAGGUCUCUGGGCAUUAACUGACGCUGAGGAGCGAAAGCAUGGGGAGCGAACAGGAUUAGAUACCCUGGUAGUCCAUGCCGUAAACGUUGGGCACUAGGUGUGGGGGACAUUCCACGUUUUCCGCGCCGUAGCUAACGCAUUAAGUGCCCCGCCUGGGGAGUACGGCCGCAAGGCUAAAACUCAAAGGAAUUGACGGGGGCCCGCACAAGCGGCGGAGCAUGCGGAUUAAUUCGAUGCAACGCGAAGAACCUUACCAAGGCUUGACAUGAACCGGAAACACCUGGAAACAGGUGCCCCGCUUGCGGUCGGUUUACAGGUGGUGCAUGGUUGUCGUCAGCUCGUGUCGUGAGAUGUUGGGUUAAGUCCCGCAACGAGCGCAACCCUCGUUCUAUGUUGCCAGCGCGUUAUGGCGGGGACUCAUAAGGAGACUGCCCGGGUCAACUCCGGAGGAAGGUGGGGGACGACGUCAAAU